AUCUUUAUAUCCUAGUUUGAAGUGGUUCACCACACCAUGGCCACAACUUCAAAAGUGUCAGAUGAUCAUCAGACAUCACUCCUGCCUAGCAAAGAAAUGCAAACAUCCUUACCAUCAAGAGAGCUAAGUGGGGUAGUACUGAAGCAUGCCAGGCAAGGAAGUCACUUCAAAGUAAAGCUGAAACACGUGAAGAAGUUGUGGGGGAGAGAGCACUAGGAGGAGGAAAUUAGUUUGACCUUGGCUUA
Long non-coding RNA from Pipra filicauda (Wire-tailed manakin), 245 nucleotides. RefSeq lists it as uncharacterized. The transcript has 3 exons. Lineage: Eukaryota; Metazoa; Chordata; Aves; Passeriformes; Pipridae. The record is from RefSeq and is a predicted model, not a curated record.